AGACGGUACGACCAAAGUCUAGCAGAGUGGUGGCAUGCACGGUUGUUUGAAAGCAAAGAGCACAAAAAUACGAAAUCGACCGAAAUUCUCGCCUGACACCCAAGUUGUACGUGUAGUACCAUUCAGGAAGAAUGGGAGAAGUUUGCUUCAACCAAAAUCAACACUUUGACUGUGAGUGCAGCAGACCUCUCAGUGACUUUGCAUCUCUUCCCCAAAAACUCUCUUGGACAGUACCUGUAGGACCAACUCCAACUCCAGCUCUACCCACAAGUACAUGUAUAUCAGCGGGAUGUAUUUUUGGAUAUAUUUUUGGAAGUAUAGUUUUGCUUGGAUGUAUAGCUCUGAUUGCUUUAAUUAUUGUGUACUGUUCUUCCAAAGACUAUAGGGAAAAUUUUCAGAGUCGGUUGGAGGGAAGUUGCUGUGGAGAACAUAUCUUAUGGCUUUUGAAUUCUAUCUCAAGGUUUGUAGGGGCUUUUUAUAUAAUAUUGGCUGGCCUUGAGGGGAAUUUAAAAUAUAUUGCCCACAACAGCAUCACAUUGGCAGGAAUUUAAGACGAGGGCAAUAUGGUUCUUAUAACUAAUUAGUGCAAUAUAUUUGAUGUUCCCUGAAAGAAGAGCCAGUCGGUAUUUUUAUUUUAAAAUCUAAAUCAGAAAUUUACAGCAAAAUCAUGAAAACUGAGAUACUUUACCUUUUAAGAAUAUGUAUGAUUGAAAUGCGCAAUGUUUAUGUAACCUAUAUGCUAAUGUUUAGUUUACCUCUGAGCAUUACUAUUGUGACAUAAUUAUAAGGUCCCAGGGAUACUUAUCCAGCGCUGUUAACCUUAUGACAUUCAUUGGGUGAUUUCAAGUACGGUGUUCGGUGUUGGUGUUGAGAGCGUGAAAAGGCUGCUAAACCGAGCCCCAACACCGAGCUGAGUUCAGAGGAGCGAUACCGAUCGCGUUAUCGAUAUCCUAUGACGUCACGCAUCUGUGCUGCGCCGCUGAUCAUCUCAACUUUACGCGAGAAAUUCUCGAUGACGAAAGUGAAAUCGGGAAGAAAUUGCAGUAAAAUCUUAUCGUAUAGAAUGCACAGGUUAAAAUCACUGCAAUAAUCAGAAAGCAUAAAUAGGAUUUUUCAUUAAAACGUGUAAAACUCUAAUGAUUUGCGCUCAUCUUAACUGUAAUAGAUAAUUUUACGGGGGUGUUUCAUCGUGUUCGCCUCCUGUUUGUGAACUACAGUUCAUCAACACAGAACUUGAAAUCAUGAUUUCCCCAAUCCCUGGGGGUUGGUGUUGGUGAAUAGGGAAAUUGCGCGUAGAUCGUCAACACCAGCUGUAAUGCUCGGUUCAGCAGACGACAUUCAACACCAGAGCUCAACACAAACUGCCAGAAAUACGUCAUAUUUUCCGAGGUCAAUCACAACACCAGCGUGAUUUCAAGUACGGUGUUGUAGCUGGUGUUGGUGUUGUCCAAACACCAACACCAACACCAGAUUUCAACACCGUACUUGAAAUCACCCAUUGUUACUACGCAAAUCUAUAUGACGCACAUCUCUUCCCGUGCGCCCUCAGAUGCCUGGAUGCGAGACCAUGGAAAAUACAAAGAUAUAUUUCGCAUCAUCUCUGCAUGCAAAGUCAAUACGCGCUGAAAAGCCUUGCAAAAUACGAAGAAAAAAGGAAAGAUAAAAGAUGUUAAAGGAAAUGAUAACAGAUGUAGAAGGAAAUUCAGCAAUGAAUGUUCGAAUAAAUCUGUCAUCGACUUUUUUUACUUGUUGAUGUAAAAUAUGCUAGAUUGAAAGUCUUCUUUGAAGAAGAUAAAGAAAUUGUCUACUCAAUUGAAAAAAAUAGAGAGUUUAAAUUUCAUAAAAAUCAGAUGAAAUAUUUGCAUGCCUCAGUGACAUGUAAAUGAGAGAGUUGAUGAUGUCCCUCUGACUACUUCUAUCGCUUAAGGUAAACAAUAUUUCAGUUUUUACAGAUUUGACAGUAAGGAGCAACUUCAAUGAACCAUCAAAUGUUAGAAUAAUGGUAAUACCACAUGUUCAGGGAGGAAUAAAACUUUUGUUUCACAGGACAAUGAGGAAGAUUGUCCGAAAGAAAGAUAUAGUGAUGGAUGAGUCAUCAAUCCCCUCAUUUGCAUAAUGACUAAGAUGUGCAGAUAACUAUUUAGAUAAAUUAAAGGUCAAGUCUACCCCAGGAAAUUGUUGAUUUGAAUAAAUAGAUAAAAAUCAAACUAGUAUAAUGCUGAAAAUUUCAUCGAAAUCGGAUGUAAAAUAAGAAAGUUAUGACAUUUUAAAGUUUCGCUUAUUUUUCACAAAACAAUGGUUUCCACAACUCAGGGACAUGCAAAUUAGACAGUCAAUGAUGUCUCUCACUCACUAUUUUGUUUUUUAUUGUUUGAAUUAUACCAUAUUUCAUUUUAUAUGCCGUCCUAUGGGAGGUAUUAUGGUAUCACACUAGGUGUCUUUCUGUCUGUCUGUCCUUCUGUUCGAUAACUUCAGUUUAAACCUAGGCUCAUAUAAUUUGGUGUGUAUGAUACUAGCAUGGAUCCCAGUAAGCCUAUUAAUUUUGAGUUCAAAGGUCAAGGUCACAGUGACAUGUUUUUAUUUUGCCCUUCUGAAGUCCUUGUUAAUGUGAUAACUUUAGUUUAACUUAAGCUAGGCUCAUAUUCUUGUUUACAGAUUUGACAAUAAAGACCGACUUGACUGAACCAUAUAGUAUUAAACAAAGCUAAUGUUCAGGGAGGAAGUAAUCGCCAUUUCACUUGGCAAUGAGAAAAUUAGAAUAUAUCAUAUUUCAUAUAAUAAAAUACAAAAGGAAUAGUGGAUUGGAUCGUUGACGAAAAGGAACAAUUACAGGUGGCAAAUUCCGCUUGGGAUUGUAUAAGUAUACAACGGUCAACUGAGCUGGCCUCCGAAGAACCGAUGUAACUGUGUUUAUUCAAUCUAUGGAGUUAAAAGAAAAAGAGGGAAAAACAUCCUCAGUUUCAAGACCAUAAAUGUAUCACUGAAUGUUACGUGGUUUACAGAACUUCCUAAAUUGUCAUGAGCCAAAUGCAUAUUUGACUUUACAGUCUGAAUCAAAUUGUUUAUAAAAGAUCUGAAGUCUUUGCUUUUACUUUCAUGAUGUCAUGUUUGCAUUAAUUACUUGACAAAUAAAUUGAAUAUUGCUGGUAAAAAUAAUCCUGUAUGUCUGAACAGGUGUCUUCCUUGUUUAACUUGUUUCAGUUAGAGUUUUAGUUAAAUUUCUCAAUCUGAGAACUCCAAAUAUCCUACUUGUGACAUCAUGAGUAAACAAACACCUCAAAUAUAACAAUGGUUAACAUUGAAUCUCAAAUACCUACCGUAAACACGAGCCAACUGGCAUCAAUUAUUCAUAGUCAAAAAUGACUGAAGCAAUUACAAAAAUGAUGCAUAUUUGUUGCAUUCAAAAUCUGCCAAAGACAAAUCUAAACGUCUGAAAGAAGACUAAUAUUUGCAUUUUCUUAUCUGUGCAGUUUGCACUUAUAAAAACAAAACAUUAUAAUGCUUGGUGCAUAAUUUAUCCUUUUUCUGACAUAAUUCUGUUUUUCCUAAAUUUGGAAAUCCUUUACAUUCACAAAACCUUACUUUUGGUUUUAACAAUAUCUGUUAUUAAAAAAUCAACUAAUUCAAAAAGUGUAUUUCUCACAAAUUCUAAACCUAGAUAUUGAGCAAGAACACACAUGUGUUAUCUUCAAUAUUAAUAUCGACUCUUGCUUUUAAACUGUAAUCUCACUAUUUUUACGAAGCAUGGGAAUUUUGUUUGUUAUUCUCAUGCAUACUCUUCAUCUAACACAAUGCCUGAAAAUGUUCAUCUCAUUUUCUGUUUAAAAACAAAUUACUUCUUGGGCUUAUGUCUGUUUAUAAUUUACAGACUAGUUUAAAACAAAUACAUUAUCUUGCUUCUGUUUAUCAUUUUACAUGUAUCAUAACCCUUAGUUUAUAAACUAAAUGUGCAGAUUCAGAAUAGAAAGUGUAUCUUAUAACUUUUUGACUUUCAAUCUUUUAAUCUUUUUUGUCUUUUGCCAUUACCGCACUAAAAGAAAAUACAAGCAUUGAACCUAGCCGCUUGCAAUGGGCGCUUUAAACAUGCGUUAAAACUUUCACUUGACUCGAACACUUUCCGUUCCAAAUUUUCACAUUUGUACAUUACAUAAAUGGAUCUUGUUUAACUCAUACUUUACUCACUUUCUUGGCGGAAAGUACCAAUAACUCGAAAAGUCAGAAAUGAAACCUCACGGUCUCAUUUUCCUAAAAAACUACAGCGAAACAGCUCCAAACAUGCUCGCUGCACAUGUAGAUAACUGCCUAAUUUUAACAGGCCAAUUUUGCAGUCAACGUAAAUUUCUAAGGUGUCUUCAAAUUAUGCCUUCUGAACUAAACC
Long non-coding RNA from Lytechinus pictus (painted urchin), 4378 nucleotides. RefSeq lists it as uncharacterized. The transcript has 4 exons. The record is from RefSeq and is a predicted model, not a curated record. Lineage: Eukaryota; Metazoa; Echinodermata; Echinoidea; Temnopleuroida; Toxopneustidae.